Anneissia japonica is the source of this 238-nucleotide long non-coding RNA. RefSeq lists it as uncharacterized. NCBI's taxonomy places the organism in Eukaryota, Metazoa, Echinodermata, Crinoidea, Comatulida, Comatulidae. The transcript has 3 exons. The record is from RefSeq and is a predicted model, not a curated record.
UGGAGAAGGAUUAAGUAGUGCUUCUGAUAUUGUGAGCAUCGAUAUUUAUAAUAAAAACAAUGUGAAACUUGAGGUUAAAAGUUUUGAAGUUAAUUUUCCCGUAAUUAAGGUAGAUAGUACGAGUGCGAAUCAGUUACCGGUAUGUCACUAUACACACGAUGAAGAUGUCAUAUUGGCCGAAUGGUUAACUAAAGGCUGUAAAACUCACAAUAAAAACUAUGUCGAAAACGGCGUGAAA